This 159-nucleotide ribosomal RNA is filed under the name Acacia curranii. RNAcentral's name for it is "5.8S ribosomal RNA". It matches the Rfam family "5.8S ribosomal RNA". Rfam says of the family: 5.8S ribosomal RNA (5.8S rRNA) is a component of the large subunit of the eukaryotic ribosome. It is transcribed by RNA polymerase I as part of the 45S precursor that also contains 18S and 28S rRNA. Functionally, it is thought that 5.8S rRNA may be involved in ribosome translocation. Lineage: Eukaryota; Viridiplantae; Streptophyta; Magnoliopsida; Fabales; Fabaceae. The record is from RNAcentral.
CGACUCUCGGCAACGGAUAUCUCGGCUCUCGCAUCGAUGAAGAACGUAGCGAAAUGCGAUACUUGGUGUGAAUUGCAGAAUCCCGUGAACCAUCGAGUCUUUGAACGCAAGUUGCGCCCGAAGCCGUCAGGCAGAGGGCACGCCUGCCUGGGUGUCACG